RNAcentral lists this ribosomal RNA (1292 nucleotides) under uncultured organism. RNAcentral's name for it is "bacterial SSU rRNA". It matches the Rfam family "Bacterial small subunit ribosomal RNA", at positions 153 to 1417 of the family's 1533-position model. The record is from RNAcentral.
GAAAGUGCUGGUAAUACCCGAUGAUAUCUGCGAGUCACAUGGCUGGCAGAUCAAAAGGCGGGGAUCCUUCGGGACCUGUCGGUACGAGCUCGGCCCAUGUCCUAUCAGCUUGUUGGUGGGGUAAUGGCCUACCAAGGCGAUGACGGGUAGCCGGCGUGAGAGCGCGACCGGCCACAUCGGGACUGAGACACUGCCCGGACACCUACGGGUGGCUGCAGCAACGAAUAUUCCGCAAUGGGCGCAAGCCUGACGGAGCGACGCCGCGUGGAGGAUGAAGUCCCUCGGGAUGUAAACUCCAAUAGUUUGUCAGAAAGUAAACCGGGUGAAUAAUCCGGGGCGUUGAUCAGCAAACGAAAGGGGUGGCUAACUCCGUGCCAGCAGCCGCGGUAACACGGAGACCCCAAGCGUUGUUCGGAAUUACUGGGCUUAAAGAGGAUGUAGGCGGAAUGGCAAGUACCUUGUGAAAGCCCAGGGCUCAACCCUGGAAUUGCUGGGUAUACUGUCAUUCUUGAGGCAGGCAGGGGUUGCUGGAACCUUAGGUGGAGCGGUGAAAUGCGUAGAUAUCUAAGGGAACGCCUGUGGCGAAAGCGGGCAACUGGGCCUGUCCUGACGCUGAGAUCCGAAAGCGUAGGGAGCGAACGGGAUUAGAUACCCCGGUAGUCUACGCCGUAAACGAUGCGCACUAGGCUCGAGAGUUGCUGACAAUUUUCGAGCCGAAACAAAAGCGAUAUCUGCGCCGCCUGGGGAGUACGGCCGCAAGGCUAAAACUCAAAGGAAUUGACGGGGGCUCACACAAGCGGUGGAGCAUGUGGAUCAAUUCGAAGCAACGCGAAGAACCUUACCUGGGUUUGACAUGUACGGAUGCUGCUCUGGAAACAGAGUUAGUUGCCUUCGGGUGAAACGUACACAGGUGCUGCAUGGCUGUCGUCAGCUCGUGCUGUGAAGUGUCGGGUUAAGUCCCUUAACGAGCGAAACCCCUGUCGCUAGUUGCCAACGGGUCAUGCCGGCCCCUCUAGCGAGACUGCCGGCGUUAAGCCGGAUCAAGUCGGGGAUGACCUUCAAGUCAUCAUGGCCUUUAUGUCCAGGGUGUCACACGUGCUACAAUGGGGUGUACAGAGCGACGCGAGACCGCGAGGUGGAGCAAAUCGCAGAAAGCACCCCCCAGUUCGGAUUGGGGUCUGCAAUUCGACCCCAUGAAGUUGGAAUCGCUAGUAAUCGCGCAUCAGCCAUGGCGCGGUGAAUGUGUUCCUGAGCCUUGUACACACCGCCCGUCAAGUCAUGGGAAUCGGGAG